CCUACGGGAGGCAGCAGUGGGGAAUAUUGGGCAAUGGGCGCAAGCCUGACCCAGCAACGCCGCGUGAAGGAAGAAGGCUUUCGGGUUGUAAACUUCUUUUCUCAGGGACGAAGCAAGUGACGGUACCUGAGUAAUAAGCCACUGCUCACUACGUGCCAGCAGCCGCGGUAAUACGUAGGUGGCAAGCGUUAUCCGGAUUUACUGGGUGGAAAGGGCGUGUAGGCGGGACUGCAAGUCAGAUGUGAAAACCAAGGGCUCCACCUGGGGUCUGCAUUUGAUACUUUAGUUCUUGAGUACGGGAGAGGCAGACGGAAUUCCUAGUGUAGGGGUGAAAUGCGUAGAGAUUAGGAGGAACACCAGUGGCGAAGGCGAUCUGCUGGACAGCAACUGACGCUGAGGCGCGAAAGCGUGGGGAGCAAACAGGAUUAGAUACCCGAGUAGUC
This 443-nucleotide ribosomal RNA is filed under the name uncultured bacterium. Its description in RNAcentral is "partial 16S ribosomal RNA". It matches the Rfam family "Bacterial small subunit ribosomal RNA", at positions 338 to 795 of the family's 1533-position model. The record is from RNAcentral.